RNAcentral lists this ribosomal RNA (467 nucleotides) under uncultured bacterium. RNAcentral's name for it is "partial 16S ribosomal RNA". It matches the Rfam family "Bacterial small subunit ribosomal RNA", at positions 28 to 506 of the family's 1533-position model. The record is from RNAcentral.
GACGAACGCUGGCGGCGUGCUUAACACAUGCAAGUCGAACGGAAAGGCCCUGCUUUUGUGGGGUGCUCGAGUGGCGAAAGGGUGAGUAACACGUGAGUAACCUGCCCUUGACUUUGGGAUAACUUCAGGAAACUGGGGCUAAUACCGGAUAGGAGCUCCUGCUGCAUGGUGGGGGUUGGAAAGUUUCGGCGGUUGGGGAUGGACUCGCGGCUUAUCAGCUUGUUGGUGGGGUAGUGGCUUACCAAGGCUUUGACGGGUAGCCGGCCUGAGAGGGUGACCGGCCACAUUGGAACUGAGAUACGGCCCAGACUCCUACGGGAGGCAGCAGUGGGGAAUAUUGCACAAGGGGCGGAAGCCUGCUGCAGCAACGCCGCGUGCGGGAGGACGGCCUUCGGGUUGUAAACCGCUUUCGCCUGUGACGAAGCGUGAGUGACGGUAAUGGGUAAAGAAGCACCGGCGAACUACGU